AUUGAACGCUGGCGGCAUGCCUUACACAUGCAAGUCGAAUGGCAGCACGGGAGCAAUCCUGGUGGCGAGUGGCGAACGGGUGAGUAAUAUAUCGGAACGUGCCCGGUCGUGGGGAUAACGUAGCGAAAGCUACGCUAAUACCGCAUACGAUCUACGGAUGAAAGCGGGGGAUCGCAAGACCUCGCGCGAUUGGAGCGGCCGAUAUCAGAUUAGGUAGUUGGUGAGGUAAAGGCUCACCAAGCCGACGAUCUGUAGCUGGUCUGAGAGGACGACCAGCCACACUGGGACUGAGACACGGCCCAGACUCCUACGGGAGGCAGCAGUGGGGAAUUUUGGACAAUGGGCGCAAGCCUGAUCCAGCAAUGCCGCGUGCAGGAUGAAGGCCUUCGGUG
RNAcentral lists this ribosomal RNA (392 nucleotides) under uncultured bacterium. Its description in RNAcentral is "bacterial SSU rRNA". It matches the Rfam family "Bacterial small subunit ribosomal RNA", at positions 30 to 423 of the family's 1533-position model. The record is from RNAcentral.